GACGAACCGUGCGAACGUUGUUCGGAAUCACUGGGCUUAAAGGGCGCGUAGGCGGGCUCGAAAGUCAGGGGUGAAAGCCUCCAGCUUAACUGGAGAAGUGCCUUUGAUACUGCGGGUCUCGAGGGAGGUAGGGGCGUGCGGAACUUCCGGUGGAGCGGUGAAAUGCGUAGAUAUCGGAAGGAACACCGGUGGCGAAAGCGGCGCGCUGGACCUCUUCUGACGCUGAGGCGCGAAAGCCAGGGGAGCAAACGGG
This 253-nucleotide ribosomal RNA is filed under the name uncultured bacterium. RNAcentral describes it as "partial 16S ribosomal RNA". It matches the Rfam family "Bacterial small subunit ribosomal RNA", at positions 524 to 776 of the family's 1533-position model. The record is from RNAcentral.